This 584-nucleotide ribosomal RNA is filed under the name Thraustochytriidae sp. ANACC TC_035. RNAcentral's name for it is "SSU rRNA". It matches the Rfam family "Eukaryotic small subunit ribosomal RNA", at positions 415 to 1015 of the family's 1831-position model. The record is from RNAcentral. Lineage: Eukaryota; Bigyra; Thraustochytrida; Thraustochytriidae.
UCCAAUGAGGCAGCAGGCGCGUAAAUUACUCUAUGCCAACGCGGCGAAGUAGUGACGAAAAAUAGGACUGGGUAGCGCUUUGCGUUAUCUUUGUCCAAUGAGAGCAAUGUAAAAGCCUCAUCGAGGAUCCAUUGGAGGGCAAGUCUGGUGCCAGCAGCCGCGGUAAUUCCAGCUCCAAUAGCGUACACUAAAGUUGUUGCAGUUAAAAAGCUCGUAGUCUAAUGUAUGGGAGUUGCGGGGUGGGUGUUUGGUUGGUUUUGCCGACUAAACAAUACUCGCUCCGCUUCCCGCUUGUUUUGUUCUCUUUUCUAAAAGGAAAAUGCUUCGCUGAAAGUAAAACACCUCCCUCAACAGCGAGGUUUUCUUGAUAUGAAUUAUGAUGGGAUGAUGAGAGCUGCUCCGUCCGUUUUUUGUUGGUUUUAGUGGUCUGAGAAUGAUGAAGAGGGACUGUUGGUGGUAUUCGUAUUUACAUGUAAGAGGUGGAAUUCUAGGAUUUAGAAAAGACGAACUGCUGCGAAAGCAUCUACCAAAGAUGUUUUCAUUGAUCAAGAACAAUGGGGUGAGGAUCGAAGAUGAUUAGAUAC